ACAAAAGGACUAGGUUUGGGAAUGUUACAGAUCGCAACUUUCUGUUCGUAUUCAUUAACAGUGUGGGUUGGAGCAGCUGCUGUAGUUGAUAGAUCUGCAAAAGGAGGUGAAACAAUUGCAGCUGUCAUUAACAUCCUCUCUGCCGCAAUGUAAUAAAGAACUAUCUUUCUAGUUUGUAUUCCAUGGUUAUCAUAAAUUAGACUACUUCCAAACAUUUUACUUCUAUAAAGUUGACAGGGUCAUUAUUUUUAUAUGUGGUUUCAGAUAUAUCUCAAAUGCAGCACCAGAUCUUCAGUCCUUCAGCCAAGCAAAAGCUGCUGGCAAAGAAGUAUUUGAGGUUAUCAAUAGAAAUCCAGCGAUAAGUUAUGAAUCAAAUGGAACAAUCCUAGAAAAGGUCACUGGAAAUAUUGAAAUUCGAGAGGUGGAUUUCAUGUAUCCAUCCAGAGUCGACAAGCCAAUUCUCAGAAGUUUUUCACUAUCCAUACCGGCAGGCAAAGUUGUGGCUCUUGUGGGGAGCAGUGGAUGUGGGAAGAGCACUGUGAUUUCUCUUGUUCAACGGUUCUAUGAUCCUAUAUCAGGUAUGCUUCUAUGAUAUAUCUCUAUCACCGAGCAAAAAAUGGGUUGAAGUGUAUAUUCUACAGUCUGUGUGCUUUUUAGAGUACAGAAGAGCUAGAGUUUACUACUUUACAUGACAUGCUUUGCGUAUUAAAUUAUAAUUUCUAGAGAAAAAUAAAAAUGGCAUGUUGUCACUGCCUACAGGAUCCAUUUUUUUCUAAAAAUAUGUGCUGCAUAGAGAUAAACUUUUAGAUCUUGCUUUUGUUAAUUAGAUGAUGUUAUAAUGCAGGUAAUAUUCUUAUCGAUGGUCAAAAUAUUAAGGAACUUGAUCUGAAGUCCCUCAGGAGAAGUAUAGGUUCUGUCUCUCAAGAACCAUCACUAUUUUCCGGUACGAUCAUGGAUAACUUGAGAAUUGGCAAAAUGGAUGGAACUGAUGAAGAGAUAAUUGAAAUAGCAAAAUCAGCUAAUGUGCACUCCUUUGUAUCCAAACUCCCAAACCAAUACUCAACGGAGGUAAAGACUCCAUGCUCGUGAAAAAUGAGAGUUGUAAAAACCUUACAAAUUGAAUCAAACUAUGUCAAACGAUGCAUACAUAUUCAAAUAGAAGGACAAAAUUCAGGCUAUGUUUCAAGUUUUGGACCAAUAUACUGCUUUUAGUUGUUCCCUUGGAAAUUCAUCUCGAUGGCAGUAAUGUGUUAUGUUCUUUUUAGAGGAAUAUGCUGAAUAUGCCCAAAUUAAAUAGACAAGUUUUUUGAGUAGUUAUAUACUGAACCUACAAAUAGUAAGCAACUAAGCAUCAGUACAAAUCCAAGCAUCCCCGCUUAUCUUCAAUAAAUGAAAAACUUAGUAUUACCAAUGUAUUAAACUAUGGCAAUCACUUCAGGUAGGAGAAAGAGGUGUGCAGUUAUCAGGAGGUCAGAAACAAAGAAUAGCAAUUGCAAGGGCUAUGCUAAAAGAUCCGCCAAUUCUUCUUCUUGAUGAAGCCACAAGUGCACUUGAUUCAGAAUCAGAGAAGUUGGUUCAGGAAGCUCUUGAUGGAGCUAUGAAAGGAAGGACAGUUAUUUUGAUUGCCCACAGAAUGUCAACAAUCAUAAAUUCAGACAAGAUUGUUGUUGUGGAGAAUGGAAAAGUAGCUCAAUCUGGAACUCAUGAAGAAUUGCUGGAGAAAAGUCCAUUCUACUCGAGUGUAUGCAGUAUGCAAAAUCUAGAGAAGGAAUCUGGCAAGAGUGAAGAAAGGUAAGCAUAAUUGAUUGCAGUCUUUUCACAAUGUAGAAUGUUCAUUUAUGGAAUCCAUCAUGGCAUUGUACAUAUGCAAUUACGAAUGAAAAGUAUUAGAACCAAUACAUUCUAGAAGAUGCAUAAAUAUAAAGCUUAAGAUGUGUUCUGCUCUUUGACUAGAGAAACAAUACCUAAAUCGGUUGCUAGAAUUAACUGAAUAGACCAGAGUAUAUUUUACUCGUUAUUAUGAUUUGUGUGGCAUCCUAAUUAAUUUUGGGGAAUAAAUUUUCAGAUUUACUGAUCAGGUCAGAGAAGAACAAGACAAUGGAAGUGGAACAAGCAAUGAGCCGUCUUCUACUGCACAUGAACAAGAGAAGAGUCUAGAACUGAACCCAAACCAACCGAAGCAGGAUAUCAGAAACAGAGCAUCUGCUUUCUACAGAAUGUUCCUUGGAACAUUUAUGCUGGAGCCAGGAAAGAUUCUUCUGGGCUCAACAGCAGCAGCAAUCUCUGGGGUCUCAAAGCCAAUAUUUGCUUUCUAUAUCAUGACCGUUGCCAUAGCAUACUUUGACCCGGAUGCAAAGAGAAUAGUUGCCAAGUACUCGAUAAUUUUGUUCCUUAUUGGAUUGCUCACAUUUUUCAGUAACAUCUUCCAGCACUAUAUAUAUGGCCUUGUCGGUGAAAGGGCAAUGAAUAACCUAAGGGAGGCCCUCUUUUCAGGUCUGAAACUCAAGCAUAGCAUUUUACAUAUCACGCAAGUUUGCAUUUAGUAGAGAAGUAUAUGAUCGGUUGUUCUUUAGAUUGUAACACCAUUUCUCUUUGUGUUAAACACAGUCAUUCUGCAGAACGAAAUCGGUUGGUUUGAACAACCCAAGAACAGUGUCGGUUUCCUGACAUCACGCGUUGUUGGUGACACCUCCAUGAUUAAAACCAUCAUAUCUGAUCGAAUGUCAGUGAUUGUGCAGUGUAUCUCUUCAAUUUUGAUAGCUACAGGAUUAAGCAUAGGAGUGAACUGGAGGAUGGGUCUGGUUGCAUGGGCUCUGAUGCCAUGUCAGUUCAUCGCUGGCCUCGUACAAGUAAGGUCAGCAAAAGGUUUUGCCACUGACACCUCUACAUCUCACCGGAAGCUCAUCUCACUCACUUCAGAGGCUGUUAGCAACAUUCGUACAGUGGCCUCUUUUGGUCAGGAAGAGGAAAUACUAAAGAAAGCAGAUUUGUCGCUGCAAGAACCAAUGCAGACAAGCAGGAUAGAGAGCAUAAAGUAUGGGGUGGUACAAGGGGUUUCCCUCUGCUUGUGGCACAUGACACAUGCCAUCGCAUUGAGUUACACCAUUGUGCUACUUGACAAGAGCCUAGCAACAUUUGAAAACUGUGUACGGGCCUAUCAAGCAAUUGCACUGACAAUAACUUCCAUCACAGAGUUAUGGUCUUUGAUCCCUAUGGUUAUAUCGGCCAUCGCAAUAUUGGAUCCUGCACUCGACAUUCUCGACAGAGAAACGCAGAUCGUGCCAGAUGAACCAAAAGUGCAUUGUGAAGACAGAAUUACUGGCAACAUUGAGUUUCAAGAUGUCAGUUUCAGCUACCCAUCAAGACAAGAUGUGAUCAUAUUGGAUGGAUUCAGUCUAGCUAUUGAACCAGGCCAAAGGGUAGCAUUAGUUGGGCCCAGUGGUGCAGGAAAAUCCACAAUCGUAUCUCUUCUGCUAAGAUUCUAUGAUCCUUGCAGAGGGCAGGUACUUGUUGACGGUAAGGACGUCAGAGAAUACAAUCUGAGGUUCCUAAGAAAACAGAUAGGACUAGUUCAGCAAGAGCCAAUCUUGUUUAAUUUGUCCAUAAGAGAGAACAUCAGCUAUGGAAAUGAAGGUGCAUCGGAAACAGAAAUAGUUGAGGCUGCAAUGGAGGCAAACAUCCAUGAGUUCAUCAGUGGCCUGUCAAAUGGGUACGACACGGUGGUCGGGGACAAAGGAAGCCAACUUUCAGGAGGGCAGAAGCAGAGAAUAGCCAUUGCAAGAACUAUACUGAAGAGGCCAGUCAUACUACUCCUAGAUGAGGCGACAAGUGCGCUGGAUGGUGAAACCGAGAAGGUGGUGAUGAGCUCCCUGGCAGCAAAGGAGUGGAAAAGCAAGGAAGGUGAGCUAUCGAACAAGAUCACGAGUAUCACAAUUGCGCACAGACUAUCCACAGUCACAAGUGCAGAUGUGAUCGUCGUGAUGGACAAAGGCGAGGUGGUCGAGAUGGGCAGCCACGAAACAUUGGUCACAACAAGCAAUGGCGUUUACUCAAGAUUGUACUGUAUGCAAAGCAAAGGAAUGAAAGACUGAUCCUCAAGAUCUCCACUUCUUCAGAUAGGACGGCAGCAGAAAAUAAAAGGACUUGGCACCAUUGACGAGCAUUUGAUGCCAAUCUAAAACAUGUAAAAACAAAAUUUACCAGUUUAUAUUGCUAGGAAUAAAAUUGGUUGUUAGAAACAGGAUAGCCCAACAUUUCAUUUCCCCAAACAAAAAUAAAUGAAUGAAUAAAUUCUAACAGAAUAGCCCAACAUUUCUUUCUUAUCUAAUUUUUUUUGGUUUAGCUAGCUCGAAGCCGACCAAGAUUUAUAAAUUUUAUACAGUACCAGAAUUCACAAUAAAAGAAUGGAUCUAUCAGCAUUAGGAGGCAGUGGCAAGGCAUCCAAUCGCACGAUUCAUGAACUGCAACUGCUACUGCACUAAAAUGUGGAGGAAGAAGAUAACAAUCAUGAAGAAACCCCUAUCAAAUCCACGAGAGGGUUUGGCCCUCACGAAACGUACAGCUAAGCUAGAAAUCGCAUCAAAAUCAUACGGCUCGAACAGAAACGACAAGGAUUGGGGAAUCCAUACCCCUCCAUAUAAUUGCCAAAAAAAAAAACUCAGAUUAAUCGACUCACCCGCAUUACCCCCGCUUCGGCCUAGCCUCCAGCCGCUCUCGUCCCCUUCCUCCUCCCCCUCCACUGCGCAGACCGUGGCCGCAGCGAGCUCGGGCAAAGGCGGCGGAGUAAUCGCCGGCGGCCGCCGCGGCGGCGGAGAACCAGACGAGGUCCGCGACCAGAGCUGCGUCUCUCCUCAGCCGUCCGAUCAAAGCCUUCGCUGUAUUUUGCAG
Molecule: long non-coding RNA, 4887 nt
Filed under: Oryza sativa (Asian cultivated rice)
Lineage: Eukaryota; Viridiplantae; Streptophyta; Magnoliopsida; Poales; Poaceae
Description: long non-coding RNA (OSAT_LNC001450)
Source: RNAcentral